CCUACGGGUGGCAGCAGUGGGGAAUAUUGCACAAUGGGGGGAACCCUGAUGCAGCGACGCCGCGUGAGUGAAGAAGUAUUUCGGUAUGUAAAGCUCUAUCAGCAGGGAAGAAGAUGACGGUACCUGACUAAGAAGCCCCGGCUAACUACGUGCCAGCAGCCGCGGUAAUACGUAGGGGGCAAGCGUUAUCCGGAUUUUCUGGGUGGAAAGGGAGCGUAGACGGCAGGGCAAGUCUGGAGUGAAAGCCCGUGGCCCAACCCCGGGACUGCGUUGGAAACUGCCAUGCUGGAGUGCUGGAGAGGUAAGCGGAAUUCCUAGUGUAGCGGUGAAAUGCGUAGAUAUUAGGAGGAACACCAGUGGCGAAGGCGGCUUACUGGACAGUAACUGACGUUGAGGCUCGAAAGCGUGGGGAGCAAACAGGAUUAGAUACCCUUGUAGUC
Molecule: ribosomal RNA, 440 nt
Filed under: uncultured bacterium
Lineage: Bacteria
Description: partial 16S ribosomal RNA
Rfam family: Bacterial small subunit ribosomal RNA
Source: RNAcentral